RNAcentral lists this unclassified non-coding RNA (488 nucleotides) under Aspergillus nidulans. RNAcentral describes it as "sequence contains ITS1, 5.8S rRNA gene". The stretch from base 106 to 259 matches the Rfam family "5.8S ribosomal RNA". The record is from RNAcentral. Lineage: Eukaryota; Fungi; Ascomycota; Eurotiomycetes; Eurotiales; Aspergillaceae.
AACACUGUUGCUUCGGCGGGGAGCCCCCCAGGGGCGAGCCGCCGGGGACCACUGAACUUCAUGCCUGAGAGUGAUGCAGUCUGAGCCUGAAUACAAAUCAGUCAAAACUUUCAACAAUGGAUCUCUUGGUUCCGGCAUCGAUGAAGAACGCAGCGAACUGCGAUAAGUAAUGUGAAUUGCAGAAUUCAGUGAAUCAUCGAGUCUUUGAACGCACAUUGCGCCCCCUGGCAUUCCGGGGGGCAUGCCUGUCCGAGCGUCAUUGCUGCCCUCAAGCCCGGCUUGUGUGUUGGGUCGUCGUCCCCCCCGGGGGACGGGCCCGAAAGGCAGCGGCGGCACCGUGUCCGGUCCUCGAGCGUAUGGGGCUUUGUCACCCGCUCGAUUAGGGCCGGCCGGGCGCCAGCCGGCGUCUCCAACCUUAUUUUUCUCAGGUUGACCUCGGAUCAGGUAGGGAUACCCGCUGAACUUAAGCAUAUCAAUAAGCGGAGGAA